RNAcentral lists this long non-coding RNA (266 nucleotides) under Lathyrus oleraceus (garden pea). RNAcentral describes it as "Pisum sativum (pea) long non-coding RNA (PSAT_LNC027367)". The record is from RNAcentral. Lineage: Eukaryota; Viridiplantae; Streptophyta; Magnoliopsida; Fabales; Fabaceae.
AGGAAAAACAUUGCCAUUUUUAUUAUUUUUAAACUGUACAAAUAAAUGAAAAACAGGGAACACCGCUUUUACUACAAAAACAUCCAUUUAUUAAUGAUGCAAAAUGUUGCAAAAUGAAACACAUGAGGUGACCCUUACAAUGAACCAUUACGUUUCGGGCAAAACGUAUGGCUUUCAUGCAAACAGAAUUGAAAAACAGGAAAUAUUACUCUUCACGUAGAGUGACAGUGAUGAUCUUUUCGGCCUUCCAGUUUCCUGGUACGCAC